AGUGAACGCUGGCGGUAGGCUUAACACAUGCAAGUCGAACGGCAGCACAGUAAGAGCUUGCUCUUACGGGUGGCGAGUGGAGGACGGGUGAGGAAUACAUCGGAAUCUAGUUUUUAGUGGGGGGUAACGUAGGGAAACAUACGCUAAUACCGCAUACGAAAUACGGGUGAAAGCAGGGGAUCUUCGGACCUUGCGCGAUUGAAUGAGCCGAUGUCGGAUUAGCUAGUUGGGGGGGUAAAGGCCCACCAAGGCGACGAUCCGUAGCUGGUCUGAGGGGAUGAUCAGCCACACUGGAACUGAGACACGGCCCAGACUCCUACAGGAGGCAGCAGUGGGGAAUAUUGGACAAUGGGCGCAAGCCUGAUCCAGCCAUACCGCGUGGUUGAAGAAGGCCUUCGGGUUGUAAAGCCCUUUUGUUGGGAAAGAAAAGCAGCAGGUUAAUACCCCGCUGUUCUGACGGUACCCAAAUAAUAAGCACCGGCUAACUUCGUG
This 492-nucleotide ribosomal RNA is filed under the name uncultured bacterium. RNAcentral describes it as "partial 16S ribosomal RNA". It matches the Rfam family "Bacterial small subunit ribosomal RNA", at positions 29 to 507 of the family's 1533-position model. The record is from RNAcentral.